Long non-coding RNA from Balaenoptera ricei (Rice's whale), 517 nucleotides. RefSeq lists it as uncharacterized. The record is from RefSeq and is a predicted model, not a curated record. The transcript has 2 exons. Lineage: Eukaryota; Metazoa; Chordata; Mammalia; Artiodactyla; Balaenopteridae.
AUGGCAGGUAGCAUCAGGCGAGGCCGAGAGCGCCGGCUCCCGCUCCAGCCCAGCGCGGCCCCUGGCCAAACCGCCGGGGGUCUCUGACAGUACCCCAACUCCAAAGAGCCUUCUCCUCUCCAAGUCCCCAGUCCUCGGCCCCGCGGGGCCUCCUGCUCGCUCUCCCGGGACCAUUUCUGUCGCCAGCGGAGGAGCAGGUGCCAGCGUAACAGCUCUCAAUAAACAAAGUACAUCCAAAAGGAAGACCUCUUCAAGUUCUUUACCCUGAAGAUGCGCAGCUAUAGUGAUGGACCCCCAGAAUUUCAAUGAAUAAGCCUACAAUGACUUUGAAGUCCCCAGAAGUGCUCAGUGACUCAGAAAAAUUGGUUCUUGAAAAUUACCACCAAGGGGAAAACUUCACUGUGUCUCUUCCGGCACCCUCCUUGCUGCAUCGUGCAUCCCCCACCAUCCCCGACUCUACCUGCUUUCUACCUGCUUCCACGAUGACCAGUGGAAUAAAAAAAUAUCGCUGAGGCCU